RNAcentral lists this ribosomal RNA (275 nucleotides) under uncultured bacterium. RNAcentral describes it as "partial 16S ribosomal RNA". It matches the Rfam family "Bacterial small subunit ribosomal RNA", at positions 523 to 796 of the family's 1533-position model. The record is from RNAcentral.
AGACGGAGGGCGCAAGCGUUAUCCGAAAUUACUGGGCGUAAAGGGCAGGUAGGUGGUCUGUUAAGUCUUCUGUGAAAAUCCGGGGCUCAACCCCGCGAAAUGCAGGUGAAACUGGCAGACUUGAGACCGGUAGAGGCUAGCGGAAUUCCUGGUGUAGCGGUGGAAUGCGUAGAUAUCAGGAAGAACACCUGUGGCGAAGGCGGCUAGCUGGGCCGGUUCUAACACUAAACUGCGAAAGCGUGGGGAGCAAACAGGAUUAGAUACCCCAGUAGUCC